RNAcentral lists this ribosomal RNA (465 nucleotides) under Vreelandella stevensii. Its description in RNAcentral is "partial 16S ribosomal RNA". It matches the Rfam family "Bacterial small subunit ribosomal RNA", at positions 338 to 795 of the family's 1533-position model. The record is from RNAcentral. Lineage: Bacteria; Pseudomonadati; Pseudomonadota; Gammaproteobacteria; Oceanospirillales; Halomonadaceae.
CCUACGGGUGGCAGCAGUGGGGAAUAUUGGACAAUGGGCGAAAGCCUGAUCCAGCCAUGCCGCGUGUGUGAAGAAGGCCUUCGGGUUGUAAAGCACUUUCAGUGGGGAAGAAAGCCUUGGGGCUAAUACCCUCUAGGAAGGACAUCACCCACAGAAGAAGCACCGGCUAACUCCGUGCCAGCAGCCGCGGUAAUACGGAGGGUGCGAGCGUUAAUCGGAAUUACUGGGCGUAAAGCGCGCGUAGGCGGUCUGAUAAGCCGGUUGUGAAAGCCCCGGGCUCAACCUGGGAACGGCAUCCGGAACUGUCAGGCUAGAGUGCAGGAGAGGAAGGUAGAAUUCCCGGUGUAGCGGUGAAAUGCGUAGAGAUCGGGAGGAAUACCAGUGGCGAAGGCGGCCUUCUGGACUGACACUGACGCUGAGGUGCGAAAGCGUGGGUAGCAAACAGGAUUAGAUACCCUUGUAGUC